Molecule: ribosomal RNA, 299 nt
Filed under: uncultured myxomycete
Lineage: Eukaryota; Evosea; Eumycetozoa
Description: partial 18S ribosomal RNA
Rfam family: Eukaryotic small subunit ribosomal RNA
Source: RNAcentral
UCUGAAUCUGCGNACGGCUCCGCAAACCAGUUGUAAACCAUAGCAGCGUUCCGCCCGGCUUCAGCAAUGGAGCCGGGCAUUAUAUGGAUAACCGUGGUAAUUCUGAGGCUAAUACAUGACACACCAACCUGCCGGGCUGGGGGCAACUCCGGCUAGGUGGGGGACGUGCAAACUCCCAUUGCUAUAACAAAACCACGAAUGAAUGCACGUUCAGACCGCCAACCAACGGCAAGGGGGCUUCGGCUUCCGAACCGGGCGGCCCCUGCAACGGGCUUCUGACCUAUCAACUAGACGGCAGC